UACGGGGGGGGCAAGCGUUGUUCGGAAUUACUGGGCGUAAAGGGCUCGUAGGCGGCCAACUAAGUCGGACGUGAAAUCCCCAGGCUCAACCUGGGAACUGCGUCCGAUACUGGAUGGCUUGAAUCCGGGAGAGGGAUGCAGAAUUCCAGGUGUAGCGGUGAAAUGCGUAGAUAUCUGGAGGAACACCGGUGGCGAAGGCGGGUCUCUGGGCCGAUACUGACGCUGAGGAGCGAAAGCGUGGGGAGCGAACAGG
This 253-nucleotide ribosomal RNA is filed under the name uncultured bacterium. RNAcentral describes it as "partial 16S ribosomal RNA". It matches the Rfam family "Bacterial small subunit ribosomal RNA", at positions 524 to 776 of the family's 1533-position model. The record is from RNAcentral.